UUUUAUGCCUUAGCAACACUCGCCUCCCUG
RNAcentral lists this non-coding RNA (30 nucleotides) under Mus musculus (house mouse). The record is from RNAcentral. Lineage: Eukaryota; Metazoa; Chordata; Mammalia; Rodentia; Muridae.